UACGUAGGGUGCAAGCGUUGUCCGGAAUUAUUGGGCGUAAAGAGCUCGUAGGCGGUUUGUCGCGUCUGCUGUGAAAACGCGAGGCUCAACCUCGCGCUUGCAGUGGGUACGGGCAGACUAGAGUGCGGUAGGGGAGAUUGGAAUUCCUGGUGUAGCGGUGGAAUGCGCAGAUAUCAGGAGGAACACCGAUGGCGAAGGCAGAUCUCUGGGCCGUAACUGACGCUGAGGAGCGAAAGCGUGGGGAGCGAACAGG
Molecule: ribosomal RNA, 253 nt
Filed under: uncultured bacterium
Lineage: Bacteria
Description: partial 16S ribosomal RNA
Rfam family: Bacterial small subunit ribosomal RNA
Source: RNAcentral